RNAcentral lists this ribosomal RNA (253 nucleotides) under uncultured bacterium. RNAcentral describes it as "partial 16S ribosomal RNA". It matches the Rfam family "Bacterial small subunit ribosomal RNA", at positions 524 to 776 of the family's 1533-position model. The record is from RNAcentral.
UACGAGAGGCCCAACCGUUAUUCGGAUUUACUGGGCUUAAAGAGUUCGUAGGCGGUCCGUCAAGUGGGGUGUGAAAGCCCUCGGCUCAACCGAGGAAUUGCGCUCCAAACCGUCGGGCUCGAGGGAGAUAGAGGUGAGCGGAACUGAUGGUGGAGCGGUGAAAUGCGUUGAUAUCAUCAGGAACACCAGAGGCGAAGGCGGCUCACUGGGUCUCUUCUGACGCUGAGGAACGAAAGCUAGGGGAGCAAACGGG